This 389-nucleotide ribosomal RNA is filed under the name uncultured bacterium. RNAcentral's name for it is "bacterial SSU rRNA". It matches the Rfam family "Bacterial small subunit ribosomal RNA", at positions 30 to 418 of the family's 1533-position model. The record is from RNAcentral.
AUUGAACGCUGGCGGCAUGCCUUACACAUGCAAGUCGAACGGCAGCACGGGGGCAACCCUGGUGGCGAGUGGCGAACGGGUGAGUAACAUAUCGGAACAUACCCUAGAGUGGGGGAUAACGUAGCGAAAGUUACGCUAAUACCGCAUACGAUCUAAGGAUGAAAGUGGGGGAUCUUCGGACCUCAUGCUCAUGGAGUGGCCGAUAUCUGAUUAGCUAGUUGGUGAGGUAAAGGCUCACCAAGGCGACGAUCAGUAGCUGGUUUGAGAGAACGACCAGCCACACUGGAACUGAGACACGGUCCAGACUCCUACGGGAGGCAGCAGUGGGGAAUUUUUGGACAAUGGGGGCAACCCUGAUCCAGCCAUGCCGCGUGAGUGAAGAAGGCCUG